This 250-nucleotide ribosomal RNA is filed under the name uncultured prokaryote. Its description in RNAcentral is "partial 16S ribosomal RNA". It matches the Rfam family "Bacterial small subunit ribosomal RNA", at positions 524 to 773 of the family's 1533-position model. The record is from RNAcentral.
UACGUAGGGAGCGAGCGUUGUCCGGAAUUACUGGGUGUAAAGGGUGCGUAGGCGGGUAUGCAAGUCAUAUGUGAAAUACCGGGGCUCAACCCCGGGGCUGCAUAAGAAACUGUAUAUCUUGAGUGCAGGAGAGGUAAGCGGAAUUCCUAGUGUAGCGGUGAAAUGCGUAGAUAUUAGGAGGAACACCAGUGGCGAAGGCGGCUUACUGGACUGAAACUGACGCUGAGGCGCGAAAGCGUGGGGAGCAAAC